This 173-nucleotide small RNA is filed under the name Sinorhizobium meliloti 2011. RNAcentral's name for it is "putative ncRNA". Lineage: Bacteria; Pseudomonadati; Pseudomonadota; Alphaproteobacteria; Hyphomicrobiales; Rhizobiaceae. The record is from RNAcentral.
GGUGUGUCAAGCGAAUCGAGGAAUUGACCCCUCCCAUUGCCUAACCGAAGAAUGUUACCGAACGAUUUGGCGGGUGGAAGAACCGGCGUCAUCCAAUCGCCAUUGAGGUUCUCAAGGGCCGACUCCUGACGCCAGGCUUUCACUGCCAUCUGCACGUCCGCAGGCUUUUGUUC